GACACCUGGGGAACGAUGCCUCAGCCAUAAUAGUGAACUGAGUGCUGAACUUCCAGCUCAUAGUGCAGCCUGCCCAUUCCUCUUGGAAAGGAGCUGUGAAUCUACAUCUCCUUCUGCACUUGGUUAGUAGGAAGGGAGAAAGGCAAUUAAGCUCCUCCAAAGGUUUGAGCUCAUGAGAUGUGAAACAGCGGAUGCUUGAAGUCAAUUUUUGGAUGAAGUGAUUUGUGGUUUUCUUCACAAGCUACUAUGGAAAGGAUUGGCUCAUUGGUCUGGAUGGAGCAAGGAAUGAUGAGAGUCAAUCUUGAGCCUGAAAUGUAUCCUGGGGUCUGGGGAAAAUGGGGUUUGAAAGAAUUCUGAACUCCAUUGGGUAUAUUCAGCAAUUUAAGUGAAACUAUACUAACCUCAUAAAUUAGCAGAACAUGAACUAGAAGACAAGUUAGUUCUUUAUGUGGCAAUAGACUUAUUACCCUGGCACUGACAACAUGACUAGUUGUGCUUUGUUCAAAACUUAGUAAACAAUGUAUGACAUUAGAAGUUGAAGCAUUAACUUACUUUCGGUUUAUAGCUUUGAGUCCCUAUGAGUUAUCCUCACAACUUCUUAGGUUACAUUUCCUGUUUACUGAGAUUUGACAUACAUUCAAUUGGAAAUUAUUAAGGCCCACUAUACACCAGGCACUUUGCUAGAUGUUGGGGAUACACAUAUAGCUUAAAAUUUAUUAGAAUUCUAGGUGUAAUAGAUUUUUAGAUGUUACUCAUCAUCUGUUGGUUUUCAGAUAAUAAUUAGCCUCCGAGAUUCUAUGUGGGGGACAUUCUGAUGAUUUCACUGUUAUAUUCAGAGAGAGAACUCUGAGUUCUUGGCAUACAUGGAUCCAUUCCACACUUUGAGAAUUGGGUGAGGUCCUCUGGAAUGUUCUAGGAACCCAGUAUUGACAUUUGCUAAUGAAUACAGCAUUCAAUUCUUCUUGUAAGUCUUAAGGGCAAUGGUUUCUAUGUCUUUUCACCUGUGAGUAAUGAAGAAGCAAUUUUGAUGAAAAAAACAACAACACACAAAUAAAGCAAAAACAAAUUUUCCUGCACAUGGUCUUGUGGUUGUUUUUGAAAAGUACAAGAGAAGAUCUAGAUGGAUGUACUCCGAGUUGGCAGUGCAUAGAAAGUUCUUGGAUCCAG
This is a long non-coding RNA of Eptesicus fuscus (big brown bat), 1167 nucleotides long. RefSeq lists it as uncharacterized. The transcript has 3 exons. The record is from RefSeq and is a predicted model, not a curated record. NCBI's taxonomy places the organism in Eukaryota, Metazoa, Chordata, Mammalia, Chiroptera, Vespertilionidae.